UGCAUGAUUCUGCUUAUAUGAGGAAAAACCUCCAUACCUUGGAUUCUAGAUCCCUGGGUCCCCUUACCCCAGGAGGGCACUAAUAGCUUACUCAGUGGUAUUGAGGCUGUCCAGCAGACCAUCCCACUUUGAUUUGGAAGAUCAGUGCCUAUGCAAGAGGAAAAGCAUGCAAUUGGGAAUAGGACAGAGGGUUUCCAGAGAGGAGGAACACCCAGGACAAAGGAGGGGUAACACGAAUUCCUGAGAACUGACCACCAAGUUCAUGACUUUUGGAGCCCAGACCAAAAGUCUUCUAGGGCCCAAGCUUGGGACAGAAGGAGUGGAUGCCACCAUCAGAGGAUGCCUGUUACCUCAAGGUAUGUCCAAGUAUGAGUAGGCCUGGGCACAAAGCCAGGUAAGCAGGACCUGCUUCAGGUGGGCAAGGUUACUGGAUCGCCUCAAGGAGAGGAUUCCCCAAGGCCCUGGUCAACAGGGCUGCUUUAAAAUUGUUGUAAUACCCAAGGACUUACUUUAGGAUACCCUAC
RNAcentral lists this long non-coding RNA (524 nucleotides) under Homo sapiens (human). RNAcentral's name for it is "long non-coding RNA NONHSAT196513.1". The record is from RNAcentral. Lineage: Eukaryota; Metazoa; Chordata; Mammalia; Primates; Hominidae.